GACGAACGCUGGCGGCGUGCUUAACACAUGCGAGUCGAACGGAAAGGCCCUGCUUGCAGGGUACUCGAGUGGCGAACGGGUGAGUAACACGUGGGUGAUCUGCCCUGCACUUCGGGAUAAGCUUGGGAAACUGGGUCUAAUACCGGAUAGGAACCAUCUUUAGUGUGGUGGUUGGAAAGUUUUUUCGGUGUAGGAUGAGCUCGCGGCCUAUCAGCUUGUUGGUGGGGUAAUGGCCUACCAAGGCGGCGACGGGUAGCCGGCCUGAGAGGGUGUACGGCCACAGUGGGACUGAGAUACGGCCCAGACUCCUACGGGAGGCAGCAGUGGGGAAUAUUGCACAAUGGGCGCAAGCCUGAUGCAGCGACGCCGCGUGGGGGAUGAAGGCCUUCGGGUUGUAAACUCCUGUCGCUAGGGACGAAGCUUUGUUGUGACGGUACCUAGAUAAGAAGCACCGGCUAACUACGUG
Molecule: ribosomal RNA, 466 nt
Filed under: uncultured bacterium
Lineage: Bacteria
Description: partial 16S ribosomal RNA
Rfam family: Bacterial small subunit ribosomal RNA
Source: RNAcentral